This 264-nucleotide ribosomal RNA is filed under the name uncultured bacterium. Its description in RNAcentral is "partial 16S ribosomal RNA". It matches the Rfam family "Bacterial small subunit ribosomal RNA", at positions 331 to 614 of the family's 1533-position model. The record is from RNAcentral.
UCCGUCCUACGGAAGGCAGCAGUGGGGAAUAUUGGACAAUGGGGGAGACCCUGAUCCAGCGACGCCGCGUGAGUGAAGAAGUAUUUCGGUACGUAAAGCUCUAUCAGCAGGAAAGAAAAUGACGGUACCUGACUAAGAAGCCCCGGCUAACUACGUGCCAGCAGCCGCGGUAAUACGUAGGGGGCAAGCGUUAUCCGGAUUUACUGGGUGUAAAGGGAGCGUAGGCGGCGAUGCAAGUCAGAAGUGAAAGCCCGGGGCUCAACU